This 552-nucleotide ribosomal RNA is filed under the name Triticum aestivum (bread wheat). Its description in RNAcentral is "partial small subunit ribosomal RNA". Lineage: Eukaryota; Viridiplantae; Streptophyta; Magnoliopsida; Poales; Poaceae. The record is from RNAcentral.
AUGCGCCGCCGCCUACCUUGCGCGUGCCGCCAGCCACAUCUCGUGGUUUUACGCUGCCCGGAUCCCGCCGCCCCACCUGGCGUCAACGACGGCGCCCCAACCGACCCUGCAGACCCACUCCCGCGCCCCGUUCUCGUCCCUGUACGCCCCCGCCACCCGCUACUACCUCCACUGCAGGUGGCUUUGGACUUCAGCGACAAGGCGAGCUCAGAAAAACUCGCCGCCCCUCAGGUCGAGCUCAACUGCUCGUGUCUAAGGUCGCUCCUCCCGCUGCUCGUCACCGGCCAAGAUGGUGCGAGGCCGAGCUUUUGCACCAGGUCAACGCGACCUCCCGUCGGUGACUCCCUGAGACAGAGGCAUGCACAUCCUUGUCCGCCUUGUAUGCCGUCCAGCAGCCCUUCUGUCGCCGCGUCUGUGAUCUGCCUCCGUAGCUGCCAUGUUGGUGCCUACAAGUUGCAACCUGUAGUCAAGAUCCUGGGUGCUCCAUGCGUCUCGCUGCAGUCCAGAUUGGGGUAUAGACACCGUCCAAGUAAGAACAAUGGUGUAAAUUAG